CAAAUAGCGCUCCUCCCCACCCCGCCUCAGUUCUCCCCUUCGACCGCCCCUCCCCACCUCCGAAAUCUAGGUCGCGGCGGCCGCUCCGGCCGCACGCCCGACUCCCUGCCGCCGGCAUCCCUUCUCCCCUCCCCCUUCCACCGCACGUAGAGUCCCGCCCGACUCCCUGCCGCCGGCGCACUUCCACGACCUCCUCGCCGCCCUCAGCCCGGCCAUCAACGCCCUCUUCUUCGCCCCCGGUGCCGCCACCUCCUCGGGAUGCAAACUGCCUCAGCUUCUGCAGGGGGUUCAAUGCCUGCUGCACGCAAGCCCGGGCCUCGCUGCUGCCGGCUCAGCUCCUCCGCGUGUCCAUCGCAGUCUGCGCCGUCACGGGGGCGCCCUGCGGUAUGAGGUUCCAGCCCGACGAGGACGGCGGGGACAUGAAGUCUGUGGGCGAGCUCGCGCCGGGGGAGAUCGUCGUGUUGCUCUCGAUGUGAUGGGGCAUGGUCUGGAGCGGUGCGCGGGGCGCCCUGAGGGUUUCUGAAGGGGUGAAAAGGCUGCUCCCGGACGUCUCGCAACUGGUGCUGUCGGCACCCUCGGGGAUGACGGGGAGUCUAGGGAUGGGAGGUUUAGAGUGUUACUGGGAAGGGGGUGACGGUCACGUCAUGGGUGAUCUCCACUGUCCCCGGGCUUGGCAGCGGCCUCUCGCAUUAUGUGCAGGACAUGUUGCCGUCCUGCGAGGUUGAUGCAGUGAAGGUAAUCCAAUCGUAUUUCAGAGUAGUUUGUUAUCAUAAAAUAUUGAACAACUUUCUUUGUUAACUCAUAUAAUGGAUCUUAGAUUAGUGCAAUUUGAUGUGCCAUCACCAUUGUUUCCUUAGUUCAUAGAGGUCGUCGCAGUGUGAUCAAUUUUGGUAAUCCCUUGUGCAUCUACUUGAUUCUAAUUCCUUGCUAAGAAAGCCAUAUUAUUCUUUUUUGCAUUUGAUUGUUUAGAACGAAUAAACGAUGUUUUUCCCUGUAAGAAUGUUUCUUAAUUUUGUUUCUGCUAGAGCACAACCUAUUUAGAGCAUCAAUGGAGAAACCAUCAAAACAGAUCAAAGAACAAUUCUGUUCAGGUUAGGAUUGUUCCAGUUACUGGGUUAGAGUUUCAGAGUUUUUCACUUGAACACGAUUUUUUCUGUUUAAUUAUACAAUGAAACAAGCCUUGUGCUAUGAUGGAGAGCUGAAGAUGAGAUGCUUCUGUAGCUGCUAUAAAUUAAAUAGAUGUAUUUAGAGCAAUUGUAGAGUGUAGACAAUGACAUUUCCAUGUAUCUCUUUCCAAGUUAAGGGAUUUUGACAUAGAAUUGACUUAACUCUAAGAAGUGCGUAUAUUGAAAAUAAUAAUGUGUGGAUGAUCUACAAUUAGUAAAUAGUGUAAGCCUGCUGAGCUGCAUGUGUUCUAUGGGAAUCUGCCGCUCCAUGCGCUGGUCUGUGCCGGUGCGACAUGUGCCCCACUGUGGGGUUUACUUUGACCGUUGUUGCUGCGUCGGUUGGGCGUAUGUGCUGAGGUUGCGGUCAUAUCUCACAUGAACUCCGCCGCUCACUCCUCAUCCCCUACUAGGGCUCAUAGCCCCCGCCCAUCUCUUGCCCCCACCGUACCUCCGUUCCGCCCUCCAUCCCGAAUCACCAGCCAACCUAGGUUGUGCCGCUGUCCAUCGUCGACUUCAUUGGUUCCAAGCGGGGAAUGGAGGGGACUUAAAGGGAGGCUUCUAUGGAUGAGCGGCAGGAGGCCACCCACCUCCAUGUUGGUCCCUACAAGACCCAUAAUCAGAGGUGGUGGGAUGGCGUUGCGCUGGCCCGUACCGCUGUCAUUCAUGAUGGGGCAAGAAAUUAUCGUGUUUGCUUGGGGGGUUGGGGGUUUGGGGAUUAGAGGCAGGGAAUGGGAGUUGGAGAUGUAGGGACUUUUUAAUCCAUUGAUUGUUUGGGUGGAGUGGAGUUAAGUAGGGAAGUGAAAAGGUAAUUAAGACGGGGGGAUGUGGAAUAUGCGUCAACUCCCAUUCCCUUUCCAUUGAUUUGCCAAACAAGCUGGGUACAUUCCGCCCGCUGUAUGUCCACGGCCUCAACGUCUUGGGCUCGGGCGUUUCUGCUUCUGGACAUGGCAGGGACAUGGCAGAAAAGCUGCAUGCACGUUGCUGUGUGUUUAUCUAAGUAUGCAUUUUUUAGACAUGUAUUGAGUAUUCAUUAAUACACUGCAGAGGUACAUCAACAAAGCCAAUGUAACAAAUAAUAUUCGUACUUCCAUAGUGAGAAGUUUGUACCAACUUUAUGUUUCUUACUACAGAAAUGCAUACAUAGAUAUGAUCCUAACAUAGAUAAUAAAUAUUUGACUGGAAUUUAGUAUAAGGAUUAAUGCAGCUUUAGAGUGGUUGCAGAUUGGUUUAUUGAUAUCUAAUAACAUUUCACUUUUAGAUAGUUUACCUCAUAUAUUUUCUGCAUUGUUGCAAAUGGUCCUGAGGUUUGAGCAUAAGAGUGCUUAGAGUAUAAAGAUCAAUAGAUGGCGAGGGAUCCAACAUCAGAGGUACAUGAAGUUACAAGUCUACCCCCUUUUCAUGUGACAAAAUUUUUAGGUGAAUUAUCUGUUGCACCAAUUUUGUCAAGAAAUCCAAAUUAUUGAUUUGAGUAGAACAAGAAAUAUUUCUCACAAUUGCAUUUUCAAUCUAAACAACAAAUGUGUUUAAGUUAUAAGCUAUAUUCAAUAUUUAUCUUGCGUGUACAUGAUUGACUCUUCCUAGACUUGGACCAACAAUUUUAUUCUUAGCUUCUUAGAUGCAAUACAUAUCAAUAUAUAGAUCAGUUUAUCAACACCUUAGUUGCAAAGGAGUUCUAAUUAUUCAUUAAAUACAUGUUUCUUGAAUAAAUAUUCAUUUUUGCAUGACGGAUGGCAUGUCAGAUUAGUUGCUACUGUUUUGGUACCGUCAUUUAUAUUUUCCUACACAAUCUAGAUUUUAUACCCCAGAUCAGCUACAUCAUAUUCUGUUAUUUUAUUGACAGGGAGCUUUGGUAAGCUUAUUAUGCCUUGAUAUUAUUUUUCCCCUGAAAUGCUGGAAUCAUGUGCAACACUCUAUCAACUCAGUCAAAAAAAAAAAACUGCAUAUCUAGCAACUGUCAAGCUAUAGGUGUAACUUCAGUAUACCUAUAUGAUCUGUCGUGCACCUUUCAUUCUUUUGUACUAAAGAAUUCUACAAGGAUUUGGCCAUCAUCAUUGGUUUAAGUGUGCUCAUCUUGGAUCUCUUCCCGUGUUCACAAAAUGUUUGUUUCAUUUUUUCUUUACCUCGAAUUUGUUUGGAUCUCUUCCCGUGUUCAAAAAAAGUGGGCAAUAACUUAAGGCGUUGGUAAAAAUAUUUUCUUAUAUGUUUGUGUUCUAUCUUUAGCGACUCUUUAUAUUUCACAGUGAUGGAAACGGUGGGUGUGAAAUGGGAGAGGGUUCUUAUAUAUUUAUGUGGUUCAACCACCUUUAAUAUUUCACUGUGGCGACAACGUGUGUAGCAGGAGUGGGUGCCGGAGGAGGUAGUGACCCCAGGGAGUAGUGGCCGUCCUAGGUGGCUUGGCAUCAUCGCCGUAAGACCCGACUUAUCUUCCAUGUGUGAUGGUGGUUGGGGUAGAAGUGUUGUCAAGCGAAUGAGUCGCAUCAGGUACAGGAUAUGCUAUACCCUGGACCAUAAUUUAUGAAUGUGAUGAGAGGUCCUGUAAGAAUACUUUCAAAACUGCAUUAGCGUGGUCUACUAAUCCAUACUUGAUACACUGUAUUGUGUCUUUUUCUACACACUUUGUUUCCAACUAUCAUGUAUAAUCACUUCUCAGUUUAGAUUUUGUGUAAUCUAUCAUAAAGCAGAUGCAUCCAUUAUAUUACAGUUUGGUAGGUGAUUCACAAUCGGCUCUACAAACAAAAUAUAUAUAUGGUCCAGGGUCCUUCGGAUUGUUCAAAUGUAUCUCAAUGCAUGGUUACGACAGAAAAUUGUAUUGUACCUAUUGUACACUUUCUUGACAACAUUGAAUCUGUAUCUCUGCUCAAUUGCAUAUUUUCAUAAGGUAUUAUGUGCUUAAAAGAAAAUGGUGGAAAGUAGCGGCAUAGUGUGAAUUAUGCUUUUUACGCUCUACAUAGCUUUGAUGGAUUUCAGAAUCUCAGAAAAUGAAAUGACUAGAGUAGUAGGUCAAAUUCUGAUGCUUGAUCUGUAUCCCCAUUGUCCUCUCUAUUAUAAGAUCCUUUGUAUAUAAGCUUCUAAAAUUUAGUAUAAGUAAUAAGUAUAUCCUGCAUUUAGUGGUUUAGCUUGAAUUCAGAUGUUAUAGAACUCUUUUGUGGCUUUUAAAUUCCAACAAGUUCCAAUCAUCGAUAUAGUAGCACCUAGCAAUCCUACUGUGUGGUUUUCAUAAUCUAGCUCUGGUGACCUCAUUUUUUUUACCUUCAUCAAGCAACAUGUUAGUUGGUUGUGGAAUUGAACUUCUUUUCAUAUUUUUGUGGAAUUGAACUUGGUGUGUUACCUUUAGCUUUUUUAAGCUUUCUUAUCAAUGUACCUUUUUUAUUUGGUAGAAAAACAAUGGUUCUUGAGAAUACAAAUAUCAUGUACAGAUGUGUCCAAGAAGUAAAAAGAAUGUGCUCUGAAAGGUGCAGAUGGCCACGAAGAGACCACCGAAAAGUGCUGAUCGAUAUCCACAUGAUACUGGGCAUAACUGAAAAAGUAGCAAGUGUGCAACAACAGACUGAGGCAAGCACUGAAGCAACAUUGUGCAGGAUGUAUAUUAGCCAGGUAAGGUGUUCCAAAGGUUGUGCUAUUUUCUGGAAGUUUUGGCCAGCACAGCCAGAAGAGAGAUAAAAAUGGAACAAGUUGACACGUGAAACUAGCACUCAGGCAUAUUAUACACCUUGAAGAUUGUUCCAGUGUAGAGAUGGGCUGGACUUAUGAUGCAUUUCUCGAUAAAUUACAAUGCUGACUUAGAACAAAGCAGAAGUACACUAUCGUGUCCAUGGCCGUGGCGAGCAAGAGCUGCUUGAAGUAUAACAAAGCCCUGCAUCUAUAAACCUUGCAAACAUCACACAAUCUUUGGGUAGUGCUUACGGAACAAAGCAAACCCUUCAAUGCAUUUUUUUUACUUUUAGGUAUAUGUUCCUCUGGUUUAGGAAAAGGAUAACAAUUUAGAGACAUAGUUUCAAAAGAUACUAUUUUUAUUCGAUCUCUCAAUUGGAGUUUGUACGAAUGUGCUACCUUUGCUGAUUACCAUGUGAAUUAUACUUAAAUGUAACCAGCUUGGCGCGUUGGCAAUUUUA
Lolium perenne is the source of this 5278-nucleotide long non-coding RNA. RefSeq lists it as uncharacterized. NCBI's taxonomy places the organism in Eukaryota, Viridiplantae, Streptophyta, Magnoliopsida, Poales, Poaceae. The record is from RefSeq and is a predicted model, not a curated record.